AGAAACUCUCAAUCUGGGAUGUACUAAUUCCUCACAUUUGCUUCAAGAGCUUCUCCACUUAUGUGCUGUGGAUAUCCCUGGCUAUUGUAAAGAGAUUGAGUUCUUGAUUUGAUUCUCCGCUUGAACGCUGUUGGUGUAUUCAACAGUCUAAGAAAGGAGUUACAGUGUUGACUGAGGUGAUUGACCCAGACUAUCAAGAUGAAAUCAGUCUAUUGCUCCACAGUGGAGGACUUUGAAAAACAUAAUUUUCUGAAAAUGUUGUGGAAACCCAAAAUAAUAAUAAUAACCUUACAGCAGUAUCAUAAAGAAUGGGAGAAAAAAAGUGUGCUAUCCCUCUCCUCCUCCUCCCCAUUUCCCUCUCCAGCUCCUGUUUUCCGGUCCUGAAAAAUAAUCCUGGAACUUAUUAAUAAGAGGAAGUCAAAUUCUACCACAAUGUUUUUAAGACACUGUCUCUUUCCCCAACUGGCUAAUAAACUCAUGUAGAACAUAGAUUAUCCCUAUUCAUCUUUACAUCCAAGUGACUAUUAAACUAAAGGAACACAAGGGUUUGAUGAAAAAGCAAGAAUCUAGUGACUCUCUUGUGAAAAAUGUAUAUAAACUCUGAUCUUCAUGGGUUCCCUCAACAGUUAAACUAUUCUUCUGUGUUUUGCGUAUUUUUGUCUGAUUUUUGUUUGUUUAUUUCUAAAACAAGUUAGCUCUAUGAGACAGAGAAUGAAUUUCUUCAAUAGGCUCUUUGUGUUUAUGAAGGACUUUGAGGAUCAAGUUGAAUAUAAAUGAAGAAUGGACAUCUUGCCUGGGCUAAAUUUCAAGAGAAAUAAGUUUAAUAUUUCACCUUUGUGUAUUACAUUAGCUAUAUGCAUGAUGAUACCUAAAGAGUUGUUGUCAGAUUGUUUAAAUCAUAUUAAAGAAAUUCAAUUUCUAGUUUCCUGCGAGUUUUAACUAUGGUUAGACAUUGAAUUUUGUCAUCUAUUUUUCUGUAUUUUCUGAAAUAAUGUCCUUCAUUUUUUUACAAGAAUGAACAUUUGGAAACCAAUAUUAUACUAUUUAAAUUACCCUCACAUAGUUAUGAUGUAUCAUCUAUUUUAUACAUUAUUAUAUUCAGUUUGCUAAUAUUGUAUUAAUAGUUUUUAUGUCUAUCAUUAGGAGUAUUGGUUGAAAAAAUUCAG
RNAcentral lists this long non-coding RNA (1166 nucleotides) under Homo sapiens (human). RNAcentral's name for it is "HSALNT0142135". Lineage: Eukaryota; Metazoa; Chordata; Mammalia; Primates; Hominidae. The record is from RNAcentral.